UGUGUGAAGAAAAUACCCCCACGCAUACCUGCCAGCCCAAUUCAACAAAAUCCCUUCUAUAACCCAAUAUUCCUUCAUUAGUUAAAGACAAAGCCCCAAUUAGUUUCUCUCUCCUCUACGAACAACAUCGACAAAAUCAGGAUGCAAAUUCAUUAAUUGAAGAACGAAAUUUCGCUGCAAUUGAUCUCAACAAACCAGUUUUUGAAUCAGAAUCAAACGCAAAUAUGAAGAGUUGGCAUUUGUUUUGUAGGAUUUUCCCAGAUUUGUCAGAAUUUUCUAUGGUUUUUCCGGCCACUACGAGAUAUUGGAGCUUGAAGCACAUCAUGACCGUUGAUCAUAGCCCAAGACCAAUCGUAUCGGUGAUUAAGGGCUCGGUUCGUGGAAUUGGUCCAAGCAAUGCACCAAGAAGUGAAGUGUUGGGCCUUGAUUUUGGAGCCCAAAUAAUUGAUGAAGUGAAGCUCAAGCCACGGCCAAGGCAAGCCGGGCCCGAUCGGGCAACCAUUAGCUCAAUCGGGCGGCUGCCCAAAAGCAGAAGUGAAGAAAAAAGAUGGGCCCGAUCGGGCGGACCUUAACCCGAUCGGGCGCGCAUAUUUGUAGGCGGUUUAGGAGUUUCGUUUUGGCUAAUCUUCGAGUUUAGUUUUUAAUACUUUUUGUAAUCUUUCUUAGUUAUGUUUUUCAUUAUUCUUUCUCUCAUACUCAAACUCUAGAGAGCUUUUUAGUUGGUUUUUGUUCUUAAACUCAAGAUUCUACCUUUUGAGGGCAAUUCCAAUUUUCCUUCUUUCGGUAUU
Chenopodium quinoa (quinoa) is the source of this 788-nucleotide long non-coding RNA. RefSeq lists it as uncharacterized. The transcript is spliced from 2 exons. Lineage: Eukaryota; Viridiplantae; Streptophyta; Magnoliopsida; Caryophyllales; Amaranthaceae. The record is from RefSeq and is a predicted model, not a curated record.